This 253-nucleotide ribosomal RNA is filed under the name uncultured bacterium. RNAcentral's name for it is "partial 16S ribosomal RNA". It matches the Rfam family "Bacterial small subunit ribosomal RNA", at positions 524 to 776 of the family's 1533-position model. The record is from RNAcentral.
UAUGAAGGGGGCUAGCGUUGCUCGGAAUUACUGGGCGUAAAGCGCCCGUAGGCGGAUUGUUAAGUCGGGGGUGAAAUCCUGGAGCUCAACUCCAGAACUGCCUUCGAUACUGGCGAUCUAGAGUCCGGGAGAGGUGAGUGGAACUGCGAGUGUAGAGGUGAAAUUCGUAGAUAUUCGCAAGAACACCAGUGGCGAAGGCGGCUCACUGGCCCGGUACUGACGCUGAGGUGCGAAAGCGUGGGGAGCAAACAGG